UCUACUGUUGUGGCCCUGCUGCACCAAAGGAUAAAGCCACAUCCUUACUUUUAGCAACCUGACUCCUCUGGCCUGAGAACCUGUGCUCAGAACAAGCUUGGGAGUAGCCAAGGCACAGAUCUGUACAAGAAGGAAGAUUCUGACCCUGCCUAUGAAGAUUAAAGACUCCACAAAAGUACCACUGUCAACAGUGUUUCAGCGAUUCCAACAAAAUAAUUUAGAAGUUCAAGCACAAAACACUUACUGUUGGUUCCAGUAUGACAAACUGCAUAUGGUACAGUGCAUAUGGCUGGUAAGCCCAGCCACUGAGAAGUGAGCUCUAUGAAAUGCAGCUUGGAAUCUGA
Long non-coding RNA from Pipra filicauda (Wire-tailed manakin), 344 nucleotides. RefSeq lists it as uncharacterized. The transcript is spliced from 2 exons. The record is from RefSeq and is a predicted model, not a curated record. Lineage: Eukaryota; Metazoa; Chordata; Aves; Passeriformes; Pipridae.